CCUACGGGUGGCUGCAGUGAGGAAUAUUGGUCAAUGGACGAGAGUCUGAACCAGCCAAGUAGCGUGAAGGAUGACUGCCCUAUGGGUUGUAAACUUCUUUUAUAAAGGAAUAAAACGAGGCACGUGUGCCUUUUUGUAUGUACUUUAUGAAUAAGGAUCGGCUAACUCCGUGCCAGCAGCCGCGGUAAUACGGAGGAUCCGAGCGUUAUCCGGAUUUAUUGGGGUUAAAGGGAGCGUAGAUGGGUUGUUAAGUCAGUUGUGAAAGUUUGCGGCUCAACCGUAAAAUUGCAAUUGAUACUGGCAGUCUUGAGUACAGUUGAGGUAGGCGGAAUUCGUGGUGUAGCGGUGAAAUGCUUAGAUAUCACGAAGAACCCCGAUUGCGAAGGCAGCUUACCAAGCUGUGACUGACAUUGAUGCUCGAAAGUGUGGGUAUCAAACAGGAUUAGAUACCCUUGUAGUC
Molecule: ribosomal RNA, 460 nt
Filed under: uncultured bacterium
Lineage: Bacteria
Description: partial 16S ribosomal RNA
Rfam family: Bacterial small subunit ribosomal RNA
Source: RNAcentral